This 254-nucleotide ribosomal RNA is filed under the name uncultured bacterium. Its description in RNAcentral is "partial 16S ribosomal RNA". It matches the Rfam family "Bacterial small subunit ribosomal RNA", at positions 524 to 776 of the family's 1533-position model. The record is from RNAcentral.
UACGGAGGAUCCAAGCGUUAUCCGGAUUAACUGGGCGUAAAGAGUUGCGUAGGUGGUUUUAUAAGCGAAUAGUGAAAUCUUGUGGCUCAACCAUAAACACAUUAUUCGAACUGUAAGACUCGAGAACGAGAGAGGUCACUGGAAUUUCUUGUGUAGGAGUGAAAUCCGUAGAUAUAAGAAGGAACACCAAUGGCGUAGGCAGGUGACUGGCUCGUUUCUGACACUGAGGCACGAAAGCGUGGGGAGCGAACGGG